GGCUCUGUGGUUUAACCCACAGCACCACCCGCAUCCCAGUCGUAUGAUAAUAAGGCCUUAAAGCGGCAGUCCUGUGGUCUGGUUCUUAGCACUCUACCUGCUCUCUGUUAGUUCUCCCUAGGUUUGUUGUUGGCAUUGACUGCCAGGCAUGGGCUUCUGGCGUGAACUGGUUGGACACAGAAGAAUGAUGGGAGGAACCAGCUGGGGAACCCCCAGGAGAAGAAGGCUCAGAGCCAUGGGAUUGGUGGUGGAAUGACGAUGAGUGGUCAGAGGGAGAAGGCUGGGAGGACGUGCUGGAAACUGAAGAGGUAACAGUGCUUAGUGAGUGGAGGGAAUCUGCGGCAGAGGAGUCCAGAAGUUGAAGCAGGAGAGGAGGGAGUCCAAGAGGAAGAGAUGAAUCUGGCUGGUGGAGGCAUGGAUGUCUCCCCCUCCUGCUGCAACAAGCUUUCCUCCCCCCCCCCCGGUCUCCCAGAACCAGGAUAGGCAUGAAGAGUGUGGAGGAGAAGUUAGCUUCACAUAGGUGCAGUCUCAGAUUGUUUGGGGAAACCAUGGAGAGGUGGGGACUUAAGCAGCUGUGGGAGAUGAGGGCCUUCAGUCUCAGCAACUGCUUCAUAGGAGCAAGACCUGCUUGAGUUGAGUUGCUGUGCUCAUUAGGCCUGACACUCCUGUGUGAAUCCCAUUUUUGGUAAUAAACACCUGCUGGCUCGCUCCUGUCAGCUCCCCCCCCCCCGUGUGUGUAGAUCACCACAACAUACAUUCUCAGGAGUUUCUUCAUCUGGAGAUUCAAAUUCAGGAGUCCUUGUAUUGAUGGGUCCUGGCUUAUGAGCUCUCUGGUGUAAUGUUGCUGCCUGGGUUGGUGUGUGCCACCUCUGCCUCCUGUGCUGCUGUUCCACCUUACCUGGCUGGUCCCUCCUCACCUGUCAAAAUUGGGAAACAAGCUGUUGCUCAGGGUGAGGGUCAUGACACCUACCAAUUAAACUAAAUAAAGCCGGCAACUCUGAAAUAUUUGUGAUCAGCACUGCACACAGUCCACUUUCAUGCGGAGCUUGGUAAAACCGUACAUUACAACCCUCCUGGCUCUGCUUUUGCCUGGUUUCCAAAUGAAAAAUGGAAGCUUUCUCUUAGCAUCUUUUACCGCAAAUGGGCUCCGUGACGCUCAUGCAUUUUUCAGAAUACUAUUAAACCAGGGCUGUAGCUACAUGUUUUACCAUCUGACUUCAUGCUGACCACUUACAUCAGAAUUCUCUACAGAAGGUUUCCCUUUUGCUCAACUUGGAACACAUUUCAGAAUAAUCGUGAGUACGAUGAUAAUUAUGAGGAUCUAUCUGGGAUCCAGACUAGUCUUGGCAACUAAAAAGAGUCCACAGUGUAGAGAACAGGAAAUUAAUCUCACCCUUUGCUUCUCCACCUGGGUCAGAUCUUGUUAGUUGCUACAGGUUUUCUUUAUCUCCCCCCCCCCCAGCUUUUUAAAGGGAGACUUAGAGGUGGCACAAGCUGGGGAGCACUGUCAUGUCCUGCAUCACCUGUGAGUUUGUGAACUGAUGUCCAAAUAUCCUCUGGAAGUUACUGAUUGCUGGGAAAUACUACUGUUCUUUAGUAUCUUCCCCUCUAAUCUUGGGUAAGUGCUUCCUGUGUUGUGCAUAUUUACUCCUGAUUUAUGCCUGCAGCUGAGUACCUGAAAACAAAUGCACUCAUAUGUGUAACCCAUGGAACUGCAUAUGCAAGUAGUAAAAACUUUGAUUUUUUUAAAAACUUACAUGGAACACAUAAGAGCUCAAGAAAUUAAAGAGAAGAAAAGAGCAACCAAAGCAGCACUUAAGAGUUCAAGGACAUAGGCUGGUAUUUCAAAAUAUGUACUGAAAUAAAUGUUGGAUGUUGAUUCCUAGAAGCCUCAUACAAAGCAUUGCCCUUUUGAUUGUUAAAAUAAAAUGGAAUAUGUUAUAUUA
Long non-coding RNA from Podarcis raffonei (Aeolian wall lizard), 1946 nucleotides. RefSeq lists it as uncharacterized. NCBI's taxonomy places the organism in Eukaryota, Metazoa, Chordata, Lepidosauria, Squamata, Lacertidae. The record is from RefSeq and is a predicted model, not a curated record. The transcript is spliced from 2 exons.